UACGUAGGGGGCCAGCGUUGUCCGGAAUCAUUGGGCGUAAAGCGCGCGUAGGCGGCCAGAUAAGUCCGGUGUGAAAGUCACAGGCUCAACCUGUGAAUGCCGCUGGAAACUGUCUGGCUAGAGUCCGGAAGAGGAGAGUGGAAUUCCUGGUGUAGCGGUGAAAUGCGCAGAUAUCAGGAAGAACACCCGUGGCGAAGGCGGCUCUCUGGUACGGAACUGACGCUGAGACGCGAAAGCGUGGGGAGCAAACAGG
Molecule: ribosomal RNA, 253 nt
Filed under: uncultured bacterium
Lineage: Bacteria
Description: partial 16S ribosomal RNA
Rfam family: Bacterial small subunit ribosomal RNA
Source: RNAcentral